UGCAGCCGAGCAGCAGAAAGAAGGCUUCAUCUGGAUUCCGGUGCCUGUGGAAUGAGGGACAACGAGGGAACGGGGCACAAAUCUGAACUCCCUCUGCACUCUCUUCCUGAAAGGGAAGAGAAGAGCUUCAAAAAGAAUGAGAGUGACAGGGUAUCCAACUGAAAAGCCUGCAAGAAUGAGGUGGCUCCUGAUCCACAGCUGAGUUUGCAAUAAGUCACUAGGGUGUGGAUGCAUUGGGCAGGAGAUGGGGUGCUGUGCACUGAAAGCCUUCCCCUGUCUUUCAGUAUAAUAUCACUUCAAGGUAAUGAAGGUCAGAACGAGCAAACAUUCUGUCUAUGGCCCUUAGUUGGAAGCUUGCUGCGCUUGAACGUCGCAGCAGGAGACUGCCAGGCUGAGAGUCUUCCUCUGUGUUGCUUCCUUUCUGAGGCCUCGCUGCAGCUGGCUCCAGCAUAUGGUCGACCAUGGAGGUAUUUUACGGGGUCCACUGCCUCAAUAACUAUUUAAUGAUUAAUUACUGCUGGCUAAUGUCAGGAUGAGACAUUGAAGGCUGCCGGCAAAAGUCUUAACUAUGGAAAAUGGCAGCAGGUGGACUCCCCCUGCCUUCGAUGAAGAAUAACUUCUCUGCUCAGCAUUGCUGCAAGAGGCAUUUUGAUUUUGCUCACAGAUGGAAAGAUGGGAGGGGAGAAUCUCAAUGUGAUCAAGUUCUCUCUUUCCAAGAGUGGUAAGGCAGAAUCUAGGGCUGCCUUGAAGGAUAUUUGCUACUCUCAAAGUCCCCAAUAGAUGCAGCAGUCUGAUUUUUUUCUCCUCACUCAUCAAUAAUAGGGAAGAAAAGAAAAAGAAAAACAGUGGACCAAGGAAGAUGCAAUUUUGCAGAAAUAUGCAGGUGACA
Anolis sagrei ordinatus is the source of this 889-nucleotide long non-coding RNA. RefSeq lists it as uncharacterized. The record is from RefSeq and is a predicted model, not a curated record. NCBI's taxonomy places the organism in Eukaryota, Metazoa, Chordata, Lepidosauria, Squamata, Anolidae.